RNAcentral lists this long non-coding RNA (605 nucleotides) under Gallus gallus (chicken). The record is from RNAcentral. Lineage: Eukaryota; Metazoa; Chordata; Aves; Galliformes; Phasianidae.
CUUCUUGGAAGAUGAGCUGUAGGAUGAUUUGGUUUGAACAAAUGUGCUGCUGCUGCCAUUGUCUGAUCUCUUCACAUAACUUGACUCCAUGGUUGUUGUGCGGGAAGUCUUGCUGCCAUCAUUAGACUGGAUGAGGCGCUCGGUUUUGGUGACAGUGCUGCGGGCUGAGCCGUCGGCUGACUGGGUGCUCUGCGUGGUGGUGGUCUCAGUGUUGUGGCCAGCCCUGCUCACUGUAGCCUGGCUCUUCAUCUCCUGCAGCCGCUGGUCCCGCUCCUUCUCCCGCUGGUCUCGCUUGCGCUGGCGCAGCUCCCGCAUGGCAUUACGGAUCAGCCGUCGCUCCUCAAAGUCUGUGGUCUGAUCCAGCAUCUUAUCCAGAACAUCCUCGUCCUCAAUCCUGUUCAACUCCUCGACAUUCAGCUUGCUCUUCUUCUCCACUUCCCUCACUUGGACCUUCUCCAUGCCAUUGGGCAGCUCUGGCUGCAGCCUCGGUGCCUGGGGCUGCUCCACCACCAGCUCCGGUUCCAUCGGUUUGACGACAUUGCUGCUGGUGCUGAUGCUGCAGAUGCCGCCGGUGCUGCUGGGGAUGGCGGUGAUGCGGAUGGGAG